This 460-nucleotide ribosomal RNA is filed under the name uncultured bacterium. Its description in RNAcentral is "partial 16S ribosomal RNA". It matches the Rfam family "Bacterial small subunit ribosomal RNA", at positions 338 to 795 of the family's 1533-position model. The record is from RNAcentral.
CCUACGGGAGGCAGCAGUGAGGAAUAUUGGUCAAUGGCCGUAAGGCUGAACCAGCCAAGUAGCGUGAGGGAAGACUGCCCUAUGGGUUGUAAACCUCUUUUAUGCGGGGAUAAAGGUGUCCACGUGUGGAUGUUUGCAGGUACCGCAUAGAUAAGGACUGGCUAAUUUCGUGCCAGCAGCCGCGGGAAUACGGAAGGUCCGGGGUUUAUCCGGGUUUAUUUGGGUUAAAGGGAGCGUUGGGCGGUCUUUCAGCGUGCCGUGAAAUUUUGUGGCUCAAACAUGAUAGUGCGGCGCAAACUGGAGACCUUGAGUGCGCGGAAGGCAGGCGGAAUUCGUGGUGUAGCGGUGAAAUGCUUAGAUAUCACGAAGAACCCCGAUUGCGAAGGCAGCCUGCCGCAGCGUUACUGACGCUGAAGCUCGAAAGCGCGGGUAUCGAACAGGAUUAGAUACCCCAGUAGUC